GAUGAACGCUGGCGGCGUGCCUAAUACAUGCAAGUCGAGCGAACAGAUAAGGAGCUUGCUCCUUUGACGUUAGCGGCGGACGGGUGAGUAACACGUGGGUAACUUACCUAUAAGACUGGAAUAACUCCGGGAAACCGGGGCUAAUGCCGGAUAACAUGUUGAACCGCAUGGUUCUACAGUGAAAGGCGGCUUUGCUGUCACUUAUAGAUGGACCCGCGCCGUAUUAGCUAGUUGGUGAGGUAACGGCUCACCAAGGCAACGAUACGUAGCCGACCUGAGAGGGUGAUCGGCCACACUGGAACUGAGACACGGUCCAGACUCCUACGGGAGGCAGCAGUAGGGAAUCUUCCGCAAAGGGCGAAAGCCUGACGGAGCAACGCCGCGUGAGUGAUGAAGGUCUUCGGAUCGUAAAACUCUGUUAUUAGGGAAGAACAACUGCGUAAGUAACUGUGCGCGUCUUGACGGUACCUAAUCAGAAAGCCACGGCUAACUACGUG
RNAcentral lists this ribosomal RNA (497 nucleotides) under uncultured bacterium. RNAcentral describes it as "partial 16S ribosomal RNA". It matches the Rfam family "Bacterial small subunit ribosomal RNA", at positions 28 to 507 of the family's 1533-position model. The record is from RNAcentral.